This 251-nucleotide ribosomal RNA is filed under the name uncultured bacterium. Its description in RNAcentral is "partial 16S ribosomal RNA". It matches the Rfam family "Bacterial small subunit ribosomal RNA", at positions 87 to 339 of the family's 1533-position model. The record is from RNAcentral.
GGCGUCGAGUGGCGGACGGGUGAGUAACGCGUAGGAAUCUACCAAAUAGCGGGGGAUAGCCCGGAGAAAUUUGGAUUAAUACCUCAUAGUAUCAUUUGAAGGCAUCUGAGAAUGAUUAAAGAUUUAUCGGUAUAAGAUGGGCAUGCGUAAGAUUAGUUAGUUGGUGAGGUAACGGCUCACCAAGACUUCGAUCUUUAGGGGUUCUGAGAGGAUGAUCCCCCACACUGGUACUGAGAUACGGACCAGACUUC